RNAcentral lists this ribosomal RNA (761 nucleotides) under Prevotella melaninogenica. RNAcentral's name for it is "bacterial SSU rRNA". It matches the Rfam family "Bacterial small subunit ribosomal RNA", at positions 28 to 776 of the family's 1533-position model. The record is from RNAcentral. Lineage: Bacteria; Pseudomonadati; Bacteroidota; Bacteroidia; Bacteroidales; Prevotellaceae.
GAUGAACGCUAGCUACAGGCUUAACACAUGCAAGUCGAGGGGAAACGGCAUUGAGUGCUUGCACUCUUUGGACGUCGACCGGCGCACGGGUGAGUAACGCGUAUCCAACCUUCCCAUUACUGUGGGAUAACCUGCCGAAAGGCAGACUAAUACCGCAUAGUCUUCGAUGACGGCAUCAGAUUUGAAGUAAAGAUUUAUCGGUAAUGGAUGGGGAUGCGUCUGAUUAGCUUGUUGGCGGGGUAACGGCCCACCAAGGCAACGAUCAGUAGGGGUUCUGAGAGGAAGGUCCCCCACAUUGGAACUGAGACACGGUCCAAACUCCUACGGGAGGCAGCAGUGAGGAAUAUUGGUCAAUGGACGGAAGUCUGAACCAGCCAAGUAGCGUGCAGGAUGACGGCCCUAUGGGUUGUAAACUGCUUUUGUAUGGGGAUAAAGUUGGGGACGUGUCCCUAUUUGCAGGUACCAUACGAAUAAGGACCGGCUAAUUCCGUGCCAGCAGCCGCGGUAAUACGGAAGGUCCAGGCGUUAUCCGGAUUUAUUGGGUUUAAAGGGAGCGUAGGCUGGAGAUUAAGUGUGUUGUGAAAUGUAGACGCUCAACGUCUGAAUUGCAGCGCAUACUGGUUUCCUUGAGUACGCACAACGUUGGCGGAAUUCGUCGUGUAGCGGUGAAAUGCUUAGAUAUGACGAAGAACUCCGAUUGCGAAGGCAGCUGACGGGAGCGCAACUGACGCUUAAGCUCGAAGGUGCGGGUAUCAAACAGG